Molecule: long non-coding RNA, 5849 nt
Organism: Parambassis ranga (Indian glassy fish)
Lineage: Eukaryota; Metazoa; Chordata; Actinopteri; Ambassidae
Source: Ensembl
CGGUAACGGAGACCCCAACAUCUGCCGUGAUGAGCGUUUCGCAGGAAGUCAGUGUUUCUACCAAGUCCUGGAAAAUGAAAGACUCGGAGGACGAAGACAUAGACAAAGUGACGAUGUUUGACCUGGUCUGCUCGAAAAUGAGAGAGAUGGUCCUGCUGCAGCGGCUGGUAGUUAUCGCACAGCUCUCCCGUGAUGUUGUCGAUAGGAAAGAAGUAGGAGGUAAGUUAGUAGAAGUAGGAGUUAGAGCUGCACAGACUGAUGUAUUAAUCACCAACUACAGAUUUAAUCCAGUUUUCCUUCAGGGGAGACGAAAAGUGAUGCCAAUCUAUUUGAUAUCACACAAGCAGUCCAAGCUGUGAGUGUAUAUUGUUUGAGUGCUUUUAUAGCUUUCACACCUUUUGUGUGUGUGUAAGACUGAGUCUGCAGGGAAUAAUGUAAUAAAAGCUGGAGGAAGGGCUGGUGAGGCUCUCAUGUUAUUAACAGCUUUGUUGCGUCCACACAGCACAUUAUGAAAAUCUCAACUUUCAGCUGAACAAGCAGUUCAAAAGGGAUCUGAUAACCGGCCUGCUGCUCAUCUAUCCAUCCUGUCUGCUGUACAUCAUUGAAUCAUCCAGGGAUUUUCUACUUUCUGUUUUAAAAGACCUCCAAGCCAUGCAGCAAAAACCAGAUGGUACCUUGCUGAAAGCUAAGAUUGUGUUCAUGGCGCACAACCCUGAGAGCAGGAUGUUUCAGCAGUGGAGCUACAAGGUGAUGGACGCAGCUCAGGUGGCUGUGGACACAGGGAUUAAACGACUCGAGGAGGAUGAGGAGAGCACAGAGACUCUGGUUUGCAGUGUCCUCUCAUCGCUGCAGAAACUAAGUGAAAACCUGCAAGUGUCUAGGAUGGUACUUCCUGGAUUGGUGUUGGAUCAGACUCCACAGAUGAUCAUCCCUCAGAAGGUUCUGGACAAACUCUUGUGUAGAGACGAACUACAGAGUCCAGCACAACAUCUGCAGAUGUACAACUCACCCUUAGACAUCAGCAUGGAGUUUGGACAAGUUAAUCCACUAAACUUCUACUCCAGUGUUUAACUGUUUGGACAAGAGGUCAGAGAACGUGGCCUUUGCUAAAACACCUCGGACAUGACUCAAGACUUCCUAAGCUUCAGUUUUAUUCAACAAUAUACUCUUGUACUGUUCAGGACUGUCCAUUUAACAUCAUCUUAGAUCAUUCAUAAUAAAAAAGCACCAAAUAUCCAAGUAAUAUAAAAACAUUUUAAUAGUUUCAACAUUUGGAUAAGGAUUUUUUUUAUCUUAAAUUGUGUUCCACUUGGUGACUGAGAGAUAGCAUGUCCAAGAAAAGGCAUUUCCUCUUUAUCCAUACUCACAGCAUCACUACACAUUGACACAAAGAUUCCUUGAUUACUUCUUCCCUUUUUUAUUUUGGCCCCCUUUACUUGGAACUUAAGGAAAAAACCAGGAUUAAUGUCAAUGGCUGCAAUGUCUGCAUGCACCACAGUGUAAUCUACAGACUGUACAGGUACAAAUAAACCUGUAUGUAACAUAUUUUUUCUCAUUUGUUGUAUUAUUUCAGAGCAAUCUUCAGGUGAUUUAAGUCCUCUCACAUAUAGUCUUCCGCACCUGACAGUGGUCUGAGAUGUGCUUUUUUUCAUAUAUUUUGCUAUAGAUAAAACUAAUGGAAUAUUUGAGGAGAUGCUGUGAAAACAACAUUUAAACAAACUUGGCAGAACUUAUUGGACAAAACAAAGUUUGAGGGCAGCACUGAAUUUUUCCUCAUAUUUCAAAGUUCAAUCUAUUCACUUAUAUAAAAAAUAAAUACAAGCACAUUUAUAUAGGACCAAAGAUGAGACAUAUUUCAUAGGCAUGGUUAAAAAGCAUGCUGCUUAGUUUCACACAGGACAAUGUCAAAUCAAGCCCCCCCUCCCCCCUUCAAAAACUGCUCACUGUAUACACUACCCCUCCACCUUCUUACAAAACAAUGUCCACAACACACAUAAUCCGCUUUAUCACAACGACCUAUGAGGUGAACAUCAGCUAUCAUUGAUACAUUCCACCAAUUAGUGUAAAAAAAAAGGCCUUCACAUUUUAGUGCUGCAAGAAUGAAAAGUGUGUCUGGAAUCUGUCGUUGACUGUUUCUGCUCAACUGUUAAUAAUGUUGAGUUUGAGUAUGCACAAGCCUUUUAGUACAAAAUUAGGAGCAGUACGCUGUGACACAAAAAUCCAGACAAAGACGGGACAAACACCUCAGCACAGCCUAACUGCAACUUUAAAAAACUGGUUUGUGGUCGGCUAAGAAUUAGAGUCAUGCUGCAUUGAUUCAAACUAAAGCUUGCUAAAACUAUUUUGAUUCCUAUUUAAUUAUUUUUUUUAAUGUAAAAAAUGCCAUAUAUUGUUUUACUUUAAGGCUCAAUAUGGUGAAAAUGUACUGCUUUUAUUGGUACACUUUUUGUGUUUUUAUUUGUAGGUAUUUCACUUCUUGUCUACGAUGGCUCUUUUUAUUUAUUUAUUUUUUUGGCAUUAUGAAGAAAAAAUGAAAGAUUAGCCUACUUGAUAAAUAAUUUGCAAACUUUCAGUUUUUCUUUUUGAAUCAAUUAACAUAGUUUUCCAACACCAUGCUCUAAUCUGUCUUUUAUCAAGUAUACCCACUUGGAGUUGAUGUCAGUUGUUGUGUGUAACUGGGGGAGAUUUGUUUUCUGCUGUGUCACAGUUACAGCAGCAAUGAUGCAGCAGUUUCCAUGCAGUUGCCUUGAGCCCUGUAACAUAUUACCAUCAAUCCGUAUUGAUCCAAACAGCUGCAGGUUUUUUGUGAUGAAGCAUUCUGCAAACCAACAGAAAAUUACAACACAAUAUUCACAUUUUCAGAAAUAUACCUUGAUGGCUAUAAAGACUUUUUUACAGUGCUAUUUUAGCAAUUACUCCCACUAUUAAAAGGGGGCAACAAAAGUUCUGCGCUGUAGCUUUAAAUCUCGGUGGUAUUGUGUGGCUGCAGGGAUGUUUUUUGGAGUGAGCUAGAGCUAAUGCUAGAGGCUAUUAUCAGGGCUCAGGAGGUUGAUUGUGAGGUCAGAAACUCUUAUUUAAAACAGCUGCAAACUAGGUUAAACCUUGAGCCUAUUGAACCAUGUUACAUAAUGUUAUUUUAUGUGAAAGUGUCAUUAUUGUGCUAGGACCAGCAACAUUAUAAUAUUACAGUAUAUGUACAGUUUAAUGCUAUAAUAUUCAUCAUCAUGUAUAAUCUUCAAUACAGUAUUUGUAUAUAUAUCUAUAUAUUUUACGUAUCAGUUUAUCCUGUCAGUAUAUACAGAACAUCUAUGUACAAGAGGCUUCAGUAUAUACAAAAGUCCUGUGAGUAAUAUCGCACUUUAAAGGAUGAUGAUAGUGGAGCAGCACAGUGACUUUGAGGCCAUGUGUCGUGGAUGUUCUCAGGACUAAAGCAAAAGUCUUACAAAUCUGGAUAGGUCACAACAAAACCCACCACAAAGGCAAAUAACAAACUGCUGCUGUUGUACGCAAACCUCGUUUCAAGUUUCCUCUUAAACUGAACCUGUGAUUCCUGAAAAGAUGCGGCAGCAGAAUCUCUGGUCCCGUGUUUGAAUACUUUUUUUUCUCUUUUUUUCUUUUUUUUUAAUCCUCACACUUUGUAAAAAGCAUUCAGAAAUAUAUCUGUAUAAAUACUCUCAUCAAAAUAAACACAUAUACACAUAUCUUUGCACGUGCCUCAGGUUCACUAAUAUAGACCAAAAAUAUCAGCAUCAUCAGACUGGGGUCUUAGAAACGGUACUAUGGUGGAAAGAAAAAAAUGUGCUCAUUUAUAAUAAAACAGCACCUUUUUUUCUGGGUGUAACAAUGUUUUUUGUGAUAUAAUGAUAAAAUAGAUGUAGUGGCAAUUUGCAGAGGAUGAUUCUCAGUUUAACUGUAACAGUUGUUGGAGCUUGAAGUGCAAAUAAUAUAAUAAUAAUUAUUAUUAUUAAACAUCUAUUAUCUUAAAAGAUACAAUAAAAGGGCAGCCUGUUUUUGUCACCUUUUAUCAAGUCACAGCAAGAAGGUUUUAACCUGGCUGGGCCCUUUCUGUGUGGGGUUUGCACAUUCUCCCCUUUGCCUGCAUGGGUUUUUUUUGGGUACUCCGACUUCCACCCACAUACCAAUAGACAUUCAGGUUAGGUUAAUGGGGAAUAAAAUUGGCCAUAGGUGUGCGCAUGACUAGUUGUUAUCCCUACAACAGACUGGUGACCUGUCUCUGCCUCUGACCCAUUGGUAGCUGGGAUAGGCUCCAGCCAUCCUUAUGGUUAGAUUACUUAACCCUUUAACAGGAUGGAUUAUAGACUGUGUAAAAGAAAAGCACUGGUCACUGCUUUUAAUUAAAAAAAAAUUCUUAUUGUUGUGCACUUCAAGCUUCAUACAUAUACUUUCCAUCCUGUACAUUUUCCCCACAUUCUCAAAACUGAGCUUACUUCUAACUCAAAAAUUAGAAAAAUCCCAUGCAACUUUGCCUGCUGCAAAAAUAAUUAUGAACACAUAGACUUUCUCAUCUAUCGUUCAAAAACUUUAAUGUCUCAUAUAUUUUUUUAGCUCCCUGAAAACUGUAGAAGAAGUGGUAUCUUUAUAGUUCUCCCAUGGAUACAAAAUAUGAUCUGAUCUUUACUGUUAGUCAUAUCAUAUAGUACUCUGAAGAUAUACAGUAUAAACAAUAAAUAUCCAGUGACCGAUAUCCCGACUGAAUGCCUUCUAAAUAUAGAGAAAGGUAUGAGUGGACGUUUAACCUCCUUACAGCCUCGUAGGUUUAAAACAUGCAUUUCAGUUUUUUGCGCCAAGACACCAACAGUGCAACAUCAUAUAGUACAAUUAUCACACACCGCCAAAAACACACACACACACACACACACACACCCACCUUUUUCAACACGACAUACUGGCACACUCACAGUGAACACUCAGUUGGGACAGAGGUUUGGGGUUUGUUACCACCACAUGCCAGAGUGAGGCAUUUUAACCAACACCCCUGAUGAAUGAAGGAGGUGAUGGAGAGAGAAAGAAAGGGGGAUUAACAGGACAGAUGUACAGUACUGUGUAGUUUGUUCUCCUAAAAUUCACUCAUGAGUAGCAGCAGCAGCAGCAAAGAGCUCAUUCCUCCCAGCAGCCUGUUUCCAGUUUCAUGUGUGAAGUUAAAGGCAAUAUUGCAAGUGAAUCAAAUAAGGCAAAACAAAUUAAAAUAAAAAAUAAUCCAGCUAAUGGAAAAUGUAAAACUGUGAUCAUCAAACGUGCCCUGUCCAUGUGGCCGCUUUGUUGUUUUACUGGAUAGAAGCGCUUGUUUGUACAUGCUGGCCCUUCUGGAUUUGAGUACAGGGGACGAGUUGAUGAGGAGAUCCAGAGUGGCCAUUGCAGCAAGUAAUCCAACUUGGGGGUUGAGUGCGGGAUUAUUAAGCAAAGAUGGUGCAGGAGUAGCAGUUGGGUUUUAUCGGGGGGAACUCAGCGGCUGUCAUAGCACUGUGCUUUCAGACUCCUCCUCGGAGUCUGCCCUGCUGUUGGUUGUUUCGAGCAGUGCCACUGAGUUCUUGAAGGGGUAGACGUAAGUCAAAUCAAAUAUACCGUCCAGUUCCAUGUUGAUGAUGGGGAUGUCCAAGUUGCAGAGGGAAUCUGGCAGAACAGAAAGAAACAUCUGAGGAUAAGCAGAUAAAAUAAAUGUUGAGUGAAACAGAUGUGGUGUUUUUCCACUGCAGGAACUCAGGGACACAAAGUGCCUCGAUUGUUUACAGGACUGCCCCCCUGUAAAGUUCCAUGACAACAACAAAACAUGUAGACUGCCUUUAAACAGGCCAUUGAUUGCUGCAGUGGAAAACUCACCUAUCGAUGCU